RNAcentral lists this ribosomal RNA (274 nucleotides) under uncultured Pediococcus sp. Its description in RNAcentral is "partial 16S ribosomal RNA". It matches the Rfam family "Bacterial small subunit ribosomal RNA", at positions 70 to 339 of the family's 1533-position model. The record is from RNAcentral. Lineage: Bacteria; Bacillati; Bacillota; Bacilli; Lactobacillales; Lactobacillaceae.
UGAUUGAGAUUUUAACACGAAGUGAGCGGCGAACGGGUGAGUAACACGUGGGUAACCUGCCCAGAAGUAGGGGAUAACACCUGGAAACAGAUGCUAAUACCGUAUAACAGAGAAAACCGCAUGGUUUCUUUUAAAAGAUGGCUCUGCUAUCACUUCUGGAUGGUCCCGCGGCGUAUUAGCUAGAUGGUGAGGUAACGGCUCACCAUGGCAAUGAUACGUAGCCGACCUGAGAGGGUAAUCGGCCACAUUGGGACUGAGACACGGCCCAGACUCC